This 73-nucleotide small RNA is filed under the name Gelidibacter algens. RNAcentral describes it as "Flavo-1 RNA". It matches the Rfam family "Flavo-1 RNA". Lineage: Bacteria; Pseudomonadati; Bacteroidota; Flavobacteriia; Flavobacteriales; Flavobacteriaceae. The record is from Rfam by way of RNAcentral.
CUAUUGCGUUAGCGAUUGAAAUGAAAAUCCUUUUGCUUUUCGCAAAAGAUUGCAAUGGAAAGCGCGACCUGAA